UACGGAGGGUGCGAGCGUUGUCCGGAAUCACUGGGCGUAAAGGGCGCGUAGGCGGCUCGGCACGUCCGUUGUGAAAUCGCCCGGCUCAACUGGGCGGGGUCAGCGGAUACGGUCGAGCUUGAGCAAGCUAGGGGGCAAUGGAAUUCCCGGUGUAGUGGUGGAAUGCGUAGAUAUCGGGAGGAACACCAGUGGCGAAGGCGGUUGCCUGGGGCUUUGCUGACGCUGAUGCGCGAAAGCGUGGGGAGCGAUCCGG
RNAcentral lists this ribosomal RNA (253 nucleotides) under uncultured bacterium. RNAcentral's name for it is "partial 16S ribosomal RNA". It matches the Rfam family "Bacterial small subunit ribosomal RNA", at positions 524 to 776 of the family's 1533-position model. The record is from RNAcentral.